CAAGACAUAGCUUAAACAAAGCACCUAGUUUACACCUAGAAGAUCUCGCACGCCAACGAGUAUCUUGA
Molecule: transfer RNA, 68 nt
Filed under: Okapia johnstoni (okapi)
Lineage: Eukaryota; Metazoa; Chordata; Mammalia; Artiodactyla; Giraffidae
Description: tRNA-Val
Source: RNAcentral